UACAGAGGUCUCAAGCGUUGUUCGGAUUCAUUGGGCGUAAAGGGUGCGUAGGUGGCGCCAUAAGUCAGGUGUGAAAUCUCGGGGCUCAACCCCGAAACUGCACUUGAUACUGUGGUGCUCGAGUACUGGAGAGGAGAUUGGAGUUUACGGUGUAGCAGUGAAAUGCGUAGAUAUCGUAAGGAAGACCAGUGGCGAAGGCGAAUCUCUGGACAGUUACUGACACUGAGGCACGAAGGCCAGGGGAGCAAACGGG
RNAcentral lists this ribosomal RNA (253 nucleotides) under uncultured bacterium. Its description in RNAcentral is "partial 16S ribosomal RNA". It matches the Rfam family "Bacterial small subunit ribosomal RNA", at positions 524 to 776 of the family's 1533-position model. The record is from RNAcentral.